This 497-nucleotide ribosomal RNA is filed under the name uncultured bacterium. RNAcentral's name for it is "partial 16S ribosomal RNA". It matches the Rfam family "Bacterial small subunit ribosomal RNA", at positions 28 to 507 of the family's 1533-position model. The record is from RNAcentral.
GAUGAACGCUGGCGGCGUGCCUAAUACAUGCAAGUCGAGCGAACGGACGAGAAGCUUGCUUCUCUGAUGUUAGCGGCGGACGGGUGAGUAACACGUGGAUAACCUACCUAUAAGACUGGGAUAACUUCGGGAAACCGGAGCUAAUACCGGAUAAUAUUUUGAACCGCAUGGUUCAAAAGUGAAAGACGGUCUUGCUGUCACUUAUAGAUGGAUCCGCGCUGCAUUAGCUAGUUGGUAAGGUAACGGCUUACCAAGGCAACGAUGCAUAGCCGACCUGAGAGGGUGAUCGGCCACACUGGAACUGAGACACGGUCCAGACUCCUACGGGAGGCAGCAGUAGGGAAUCUUCCGCAAUGGGCGAAAGACUGACGGAGCAACGCCGCGUGAGUGAUGAAGGUCUUCGGGUCGUAAAACUCUGUUAUUAGGGAAGAACAUAUGUGUAAGUAACUGUGCACAUCUUGACGGUACCUAAUCAGAAAGCCACGGCUAACUACGUG